AGAGUUUGAUCAUGGCUCAGAAUCAACGCUGGCGGCGCGCCUAACACAUGCAAGUCGAACGAGAAAGUGGGGCAACCCAUGAGUACAGUGGCGUACGGGUGAGUAACACGUGGAUGAUCUACCUUCUGGUGAGGAAUAACCCUGGGAAACCGGGGCUAAUACCGCAUAAGCACGAGAGUGGAAAGCAGCAAUGCGCCGGAAGAGGAGUCCGCGGCCGAUUAGCUAGUUGGCAGGGUAAAAGCCUACCAAGGCGACGAUCGGUAGCCGGCCUGAGAGGGCACACGGCCACACUGGCACUGAAACACGGGCCAGACUCCUACGGGAGGCAGCAGUGGGGAAUCUUGCACAAUGGGGGAAACCCUGAUGCAGCGACGCCGCGUGAGCGAUGAAGCCCUUCGGGGUGUAAAGCUCUUUCGGCAGGGAAGAUUAUGACGGUACCUGCAGAAGCAGCUGCGGCUAACUACGUGCCAGCAGCCGCGGUAAUACGUAGGCAGCAAGCGUUGUUCGGAGUUACUGGGCGUAAAGGGUGUGUAGGCGGUUGUUUAAGUUUGGUGUGAAAUCUCCCGGCUCAACUGGGAGGGUGCGCCGAAUACUGAAUGACUAGAGUGCGGGAGAGGAAAGUGGAAUUCCUGGUGUAGCGGUGAAAUGCGUUGAUAUCAGGAGGAACACCGGUGGUGUAGACGGCUUUCUGGACCGUAACUGACGCUGAGACACGAAAGCGUGGGUAGCAAACAGGAUUAGAUACCCUGGUAGUCCACGCCCUAAACGAUGCAUAUUUGGUGUGGGCAGCUCAGUCUGUCCGUGCCGGGGCUAACGCGUUAAAUAUGCCGCCUGGGGAGUACAGUCGCAAGGCUGAAACUCAAAGGAAUUGACGG
This 875-nucleotide ribosomal RNA is filed under the name uncultured bacterium. RNAcentral's name for it is "bacterial SSU rRNA". It matches the Rfam family "Bacterial small subunit ribosomal RNA", at positions 8 to 916 of the family's 1533-position model. The record is from RNAcentral.